GUCUAAUUCUGCCCUGCCCCUAACAUAGAAAGUAGGAUAGUCUCUAUUCCAAAUAAGGUUGCCAGAAAAAACUUAAUAUGCACAUAGACAACACAUCAAGUUUUAAUGAGGCUGACACCACCAAAUCUAUCAUUCAUGGAAAAUAUAUUCCAAGCAAUCUGCUGUAAACAUUAUACAAGUUCUGUGAAUAUUAUAUAAUUAUACAUACCCACACAGCAUCAGAUAUAUAUGCUACAAACAAGGUAAGAAAAACACACUGAAAAGGUAAACAUAUAAAGAAAGCUGCGGAAUUCCCUCAGGAAAUUAGGACUUUGGGGGGGAAAUUUUUGAAUACUCUUGAGUGCUGAAGUGCUUUCUCACUCAUAAAAAUGUGGGUUUUUUGUGUAAUAAGAAAAGCAGACCCCACAUAAUUAUUAUGGAGGAUGGAUGUACAGCUGGAGUAUUGGAUAAUUUCCCAACUUUAGAUAUCUGAUCAACGGUUUUCUCAUCUUCAAGUACACUGACUACUUCAGACAUUGUAGGCCUAAGAUCUGCAGUUGCAUUGAUGCAUAAAAUCGCCAAGUUCAGAAUAUUCAAGGCCUUCUUCCGAUCAUAAUUGAUUAAUCUCCUAUCAACCAAGCCAAACAUCUUUCCCCUUGCAUGUGCAAUACGAGCAUCAUCUGUAAGAAUAGCAGCUUCCUGAUUUGGUUUAUAUUCUAUACCAGGUCUCCCACUGAAUAUUUCAAGUGCCACAACCCCAAAACUGUAAACAUCAGCUUUAUCGGUGAUGGGUUGCCCCAGUGCAUACUCAGGUGCAACAUAUACUCUUGCCCCUCCUGCUUUGAUAGUCAAAAAUGGGUCUUCCUCAUUAUAAACCCUUGCCCAUCCAAAGUCGGUUAACUUGGCAAUGUAAUUUUUAUCAAGCAAAAUGUUACUGGUUUUUAUAUUCCUGUGUAGAAUUUUGAGUCCAUCUUCUUCCACUUCAUGCAGAUACUUCAAAGCUUUUGCUAAUCCCAGGCAGAUAUUAAAUCUAACUUUCCAAUCAAGUUCUAUUUUGGAAUUUGGAUCUGCCAACCCAAACACUCAACUCAACCUCAUUGCCAAUCAUUUUACAAUAUUAACUAUAAACAAAAUUUUGCCACUAGAAGGGUUAAAUUGAAAAUAGAUUUCCAAGUUAGAUUACCAAAUAAAGCUUGGUGAACGGAGCCUUUCUCCAUGUAUUCGUAUAUUAGUAGAUGAAGGUCUUUUCUUGAAUAACCACCAAAAAGCUGAAUUAUGUUCUCAUGUUUCAAUCUUUUCAUCUGGCUGAAAAAAAUCUCCCCUUGUAAUUCAUCUUUAAGCUUGUCUUGCAUUGAUUCAGGGGAAAUCUUCUUCACUGCAAAUUUAAUCUGAUGAUUCUGAUCUGACAGUUCAGCCUUAUACACUAUCCCAAAACGUCCUCUGCCUAUCAUCAUUUCAGGGCUGAAAUUUUGAGUAGCAUCUAUGAUUUGUUUGAGGGUGAACCUUCUGUCUUCAACAUCUAUAUGUAUUUCUUUCAACUCUCUGUUACCUAGCCAGCCCAUUUUCCACAUCAAAGCCAAGAGAAGAAUUGGAGCAAGUACAGAACCUACUGUGAUCCCUACUAUCUGUGGAGUAGAUAGUUUAUUGCCUCCAGGAAUUGUGAAGUUUGGGGUCACAGAAAUGCCUGACACAAGUGGUCCAUUGAGAAGUGGUGAGGUGUACAUAGAUCCCUUUCCAGCCCAGUGAAAAUGGAUCUCCAGCAAAUUGUCAUCUACAUGUGCCACGAAUUCUUCUAUUAAUGCUUUGUUUGGAUCCUUAGCUUUAUCCUUUAUGCUGAAAUCUUUUAGUUUUCUCUCACCCUGAAUAUACACAUCAAAAAUACGUUUUCCAGAGCUGCUAUAAUCUUCAUCCAUUGCAUAAACAAUUUCAGCAAAGUGAAGUUUUACAUUGUAAUCUCCCUUAUGUAAACAGAACCCGUAAUACGUGAGAGACACAGGGCAAAGGCGAGCUGUUUCAUGCAAAGACUCCCCUGAAACUCCACACGUCUUGUUCUUUAUGUAAUCACUUGAAUUAGCAGUUGAUGAUAAGAAUUCUCCAGAACAAGCAUAAGCCCAUCUUUUGCCUCUAACGUUUUCCGGACCUUCGUAGAACUUGGCUACUGAUGUAUCGCUAUCAUAAUGUUUCCCGUCAGAACUUAAAUUUGCACCUCCACAAUUUAUGAACAAGGAAUCGUACUUUGAUUCCCCCCGACAAAAGUUGGUUUUCGCUUCAAGAGUAUAAUUCCUAGAAAACAAGAAAAUUUGUCAGAGAAAACUCGGAUAUGUUGUUCUGAUUGCAGGGGAAAAAAAAGGGCCAUCAAUGUACCUGCUCGGUUUGCUAGUUGAGCAGCAACAUAAUUUGCAAAAAAAGUCGCAGCAAAUAAGAAGAAACUCUCUCAAAUUGAAAUAGACCUAAUUAAGGAAACAAGAGAAUGAAAAAGAAAUAGAAAGAGUUUGUUACAUAUUUGGCUCUGGUCCAUGGGACUUUGUGUUUUCUGAAUCCGUGCUCGGUGGAAUUGAGAAAUCGUUGUAAGAAAGAUCCCAGUUACCAUCAGGGAAGGGACUGGGAGGGAUUGAUCCUUGAAGCAUAUUUUCAGUCAAAAUCAUCUUUGUCACAUUCUUCAUAGUUUUUGGGAUUCCACCAGUCAACUGAUUAAAGCUCAAAUCCAGGUGAGUUAACCGUGGCCAAACGCCAGGAUUGUCAGGAAUAGAGCCAUUAAGUGAGCAGCACCUCAGAAUCAUUUCAUAUAUUGACGGCAUAUUUAUAUUUUUUGGAAAAGAGAAACCAGUGCUGCUUUUUAGGUCACUAACCCACAAAGAUUCGAGAUUUUUCAUUGUAAAAAUUUCACCAGGCACGCGCCCUUCAAAAUCAUUUCUCAUGAGAUACAGAUCAGUGAGAUU
Molecule: unclassified non-coding RNA, 2918 nt
Filed under: Hevea brasiliensis (rubber tree)
Lineage: Eukaryota; Viridiplantae; Streptophyta; Magnoliopsida; Malpighiales; Euphorbiaceae
Source: RNAcentral